GGGUUACGUGUGCUCACACAACAGCGGCGCACACAACUGAGCACAGGUGGCCCGUCCAGGGGACACCAAGUGCGGUGUGAUCUCAAUCAGGAGAGAUGCAUGGCAAAAGGCUGGCCCCACAAGGCAGGAAGCUAUAAAGACCGCUGUGGCAAGGGGACUCAUGCUGAAGCCCAAGCCUCCAGAGCCUCAGAGGCGAGUGUACUGGAGACAGGGCCUUCAAAGAGGGCGACAGAGUGAAAAUGAGGCCCAAGGGUGGUGUCCUUACAAGAGGACAUUUGGACACACGGAGGCACCAGGGACACUGGUGUGAAGCCAGGGUAAGGCAGCGUCUAUAAGCCAAGAAGAGGCCUCCUCAAUCCUGACCACAGCCUCCUGGACUGCGGGGAGACACAUUCCUGCCACAGAUAGCCUCCCAGCCUGUGGGGCUUGGUCUCAGCUAGGCCAGCAGGCUAUGACAGACUAGAGGGAAGAAGGGCGCAAACGGGGUGCCUCCCCACACGGGGGUCCAUCCCCCCAUCCUCACCACCCAGCUCCCUCCUCAAGGUGCGCCCCAUCCCACACAUCUAGCCUAGGCUUCUUAAACACGAACACUCCCCGGAUGAAAACCCUUCCGCUCCUUUCUGCAGGCUCUGCAAGGGGCAGCUGGGAACCCCGGGCCGUCACAGACCCUCAGGCCACACCCUGCCCAGCACCUGGCCUUCCCAUCCAGGCCACGCCACGUCCCUCCUUCCUCUCCUCAGCACAGGUGGAGGAGCCCCAGGCUGGCCCAAGAGAAAGGCCAUGGCAGGAAAACUGCACCAGAAGGAGCAACAGAGCC
Molecule: long non-coding RNA, 817 nt
Filed under: Homo sapiens (human)
Lineage: Eukaryota; Metazoa; Chordata; Mammalia; Primates; Hominidae
Description: HSALNT0156476
Source: RNAcentral